UAGGGUCCUACGACGUACGAAGUUAGGGUACGACUACUGGGCUCAGGAUGAACGCUGGCGGCGUGCUUAACACAUGCAAGUCGAACGGAGAUAGCGGAGAGCUUGCUUUCUGCUAUCUUAGUGGCGGACGGGUGAGUAACGCGUGGGUAACCUACCCUGUACAGGGGGAUAGCAGCUGGAAACGGCUGAUAAAACCGCAUAAAACGGCAGUACCGCAUGGUACAACCGUCAAAUAUUCAUAGGUACAGGAUGGGCCCGCGUCUGAUUAGCCAGUUGGUGGGGUAACGGCCUACCAAAGCGACGAUCAGUAGCCGGCCUGAGAGGGUGAACGGCCACAUUGGGACUGAGACACGGCCCAAACUCCUACGGGAGGCAGCAGUGGGGAAUAUUGGACAAUGGGGGAAACCCUGAUCCAGCGACGCCCGCGUGAGUGAAGAAGUAUCUCGGUAUGUAAAGCUCUAUCAGCAGGGAAGAUGAUGACGGUACCUGACUAAGAAGCACCGGCUAAAUACGUGCCAGCCGCCGC
This 526-nucleotide ribosomal RNA is filed under the name uncultured bacterium. RNAcentral's name for it is "bacterial SSU rRNA". It matches the Rfam family "Bacterial small subunit ribosomal RNA", at positions 1 to 518 of the family's 1533-position model. The record is from RNAcentral.